GGAGAGGGAGCCUGAGAAACGGUUACCACAUCUAAGGAAGGCAGCAGGCGCGUAAAUUACCCACUCCCAGUUCGGGGAGGUAGUGACGAAAAAUAACAAUACAGGACUCAUAUCCGAGGCCCUGUAAUUGGAAUGAGUACACUUUAAAUCCUUUAACAAGGACCUAUUGGAGGGCAAGUCUGGUGCCAGCAGCCGCGGUAAUUCCAGCUCCAAUAGCGUAUAUUAAAGUUGUUGCGGUUAAAACGUUCGUAGUUGAAUUUGUGCUUCAUACGGGUAGUACAACUAUAAUUGUGGAUUGUACGUUACCUUAUGUAUGCAAGCGUAUUACCGGUGGAGUUCUAAUAUAUAAUGGUGCAUUGUAUCAUUAUGUAUACCUCCUAUUUAAACCUGCUUCAGUGCUCUUCAUCGAGUGUUGUUGUGGGCCGGUACAAUUACUUUGAACAAAUUAGAGUGCUUAAAGCAGGCUCCAAAUGCCUGAAUAUUUUGUGCAUGGAAUAAUGAAAUAAGACCUCUGUUCUACUUUCAUUGGUUUUUAGAUCAAGAGGUAAUGAUUAAUAGAAGCAGUUUGGGGGCAUUAGUAUUACGACGCGAGAGGUGAAAUUCUUGGACCGUCGUAAGACUAACUUAAGCGAAAGCAUUUGCCAAAGAUGUUUUCAUUAAUCAGAACGAAAG
RNAcentral lists this ribosomal RNA (672 nucleotides) under Rhingia trivittata. RNAcentral's name for it is "SSU rRNA". It matches the Rfam family "Eukaryotic small subunit ribosomal RNA", at positions 385 to 989 of the family's 1831-position model. The record is from RNAcentral. Lineage: Eukaryota; Metazoa; Arthropoda; Insecta; Diptera; Syrphidae.